GUGGGGAAUAUUGGACAAUGGGGGAAACCCUGAUCCAGCGACGCCGCGUGAGUGAAGAAGUAUUUCGGUAUGUAAAGCUCUAUCAGCAGGGAAGAAAAUGACGGUACCUGACUAAGAAGCCCCGGCUAACUACGUGCCAGCAGCCGCGGUAAUACGUAGGGGGCAAGCGUUAUCCGGAUUUACUGGGUGUAAAGGGAGCGUAGACGGCACUGCAAGUCUGGAGUGAAAGCCCGGGGCUCAACCCCGGGACUGCUUUGGAAACUGUGGUGCUGGAGUGCAGGAGAGGUAAGUGGAAUUCCUAGUGUAGCGGUGAAAUGCGUAGAUAUUAGGAGGAACACCAGUGGCGAAGGCGGCUUACUGGACUGUAACUGACGUUGAGGCUCGAAAGCGUGGGGAGCAAACAGGAUUAGAAACCCUGGUAGUCC
This 425-nucleotide ribosomal RNA is filed under the name uncultured bacterium. RNAcentral's name for it is "partial 16S ribosomal RNA". It matches the Rfam family "Bacterial small subunit ribosomal RNA", at positions 354 to 796 of the family's 1533-position model. The record is from RNAcentral.